RNAcentral lists this ribosomal RNA (253 nucleotides) under uncultured archaeon. Its description in RNAcentral is "partial 16S ribosomal RNA". It matches the Rfam family "Archaeal small subunit ribosomal RNA", at positions 474 to 727 of the family's 1478-position model. The record is from RNAcentral.
AACCAGCACCUCAAGUGGUCAGGAUGAUUAUUGGGCCUAAAGCAUCCGUAGCCUGUUCUAUAAGUUUCCGGUUAAAUCCAUGCGCUCAACGUAUGGGCCGCCGGAAAUACUGCAGAACUAGGGAGUGGGAGAGGUAGACGUUACUCGGUAGGAAGAGGUAAAAUUCUUUGAUCUAUUGAUGACCACCUGUGGCGAAGGCGUCUUCCUGGACUGAUACUGACACUGAGGAGCGAAAGCGUGGGUAGCGAACAGG